GCUUGUCUGAGGGCUGACCCCAGGAAUUAUGCUGUGGAAGGUAUUUAUUUAUGACUCUGUCACCACAUUGGAGUUUGUCCUACAAGUCCUCUGUUCCUGUGUAGUUUGAGUGUGUAGGAGAUCCACCUGGGUCUUUUGUUUUCUCUUAAAAUCAUUUCUGUAUUUUGGCUCUACUAGCCCCGGUUCUAGUGUAUAACUUUCUGUUUGCAUUGGUUAAUCUUCACUGUUACCAUUGCUGGAAUAAGUUCACCCUGGCAACACACCUCUGAGUGGACCUAUGAUGAUGCACCAAGAAGAGUUGAGCAGCAGCAGAAGACACAUGGACUACUGAGGACUCCGGUCCAGGAGUGAAUAAACAGGAGGAAGUGAGAUACAGAGCAGUUUGGUGCUCUCGGCUUUCUGAUGGCAGAUGCAGUGUCUCUACACCCCUAGCUUCAUAUCUUCCCCACCACGUGUGCGUCCUCAAGCUCAAGCCUCCCCUCCUUCAGUUGCUUCUGUAGUGAUUUCUGUCAGAAGAUUGAAAAGGUUUGCAAGACAACUAAAGAUCAAGUAUGAAGUAAAAACGAGAAAAUCAUCAGUUUCCAACUUCAUGAACAGAAAACUCAAGUAAAAUCAAACUUGGGUGUAAUGGCAUUGUUUUCACAAAUCUGGAAGCAGAUCAGUAAUACCCGCGAAGCUGUGUCAACCAUUCUGGUCAUAAAAUCUCAAACUGAGUGUUUGUAUUGGGAUUAUUCAGUCACAAGAGGCUUUCAUCAUAUUUUCUCCAUUGUUUGCAAAGGACAAGUCAAUAGUAGAUAUCCCCAAAUCCCAUAAUAAAUUAAUAUUAUAUUAA
Non-coding RNA from Rattus norvegicus (Norway rat), 832 nucleotides. The record is from RefSeq and is a predicted model, not a curated record. Lineage: Eukaryota; Metazoa; Chordata; Mammalia; Rodentia; Muridae.